RNAcentral lists this unclassified non-coding RNA (774 nucleotides) under Hevea brasiliensis (rubber tree). Lineage: Eukaryota; Viridiplantae; Streptophyta; Magnoliopsida; Malpighiales; Euphorbiaceae. The record is from RNAcentral.
CCCAAAUAAUCUCCCCAAAUUAACACAUUCUCCUUCUCAGUCCUCUUUGACACUAACAACCAUAAAAGCUCAUGUAACACAGCCACAACCCACCUCUCAGAUUAAAACAAAUAAAAAGAUGGCUCAUAUAUCAAUUACUAUAAACAUGAUGCUAUCAAAUAUAUCUCUUCUGCAAGGAAACUACUUAUGCAUUCAUCGUUAAAUAAACAUCUCAAAAAGAUGGCUCAAUGGACAGGUUUUCCAGAUUAAAACGAAUAAAAAGCAGAGGAAGAAGUUAAUUCACCAUCCAAUAAGCUGCAAGCAAAGAACCUGAUCCCUUCACUGCAUAUUUCAAUUAACAAUCUGCCUUUUUUAUUUCUCUGGUUAAUCUUCUCUUAUCAGUCCCUUAAUUUCUUAUUUCCCCAGUAUUUUGUCAAACUGACUGUGUUUUCCAAUAGGGCCUUUUCGAGCAGAAUUCCAAUGUUCUGUAUCAACUUUUGCCUCCUUGUUCACAUGUCACCAAUUAUUACCAUAUCAAUUCACAAAUUCAAUUUCAUUUGCCUCAUCAUUACUUGCAUCCUCAACUUCAGACGCUGAAUAGUCCAAAUCCUCAAAUUCAGAAUCAGAAGAGCCACUUGACUUAUCUUCCUCUCUUUUCCAACUUUUAUCUCUUACAGUUCUUUCUUCCCCUUUAUUGAUGGAUGAUGCAGCCCGCCUUUUCGACCAAGAACGUAAAGCUCCACCAGCUGCUUUUCUUGGCUUUUCAAUAGCUUUAUUCAUAAGAUGAAUAUACCU